Paramuricea clavata is the source of this 687-nucleotide non-coding RNA. Lineage: Eukaryota; Metazoa; Cnidaria; Anthozoa; Malacalcyonacea; Plexauridae. The record is from the annotation of a GenBank genome assembly.
GUUAAAUUUUGUGGUAGCUUUUCUGACAAUGCCUUUUGAGAAAUCUGGAGAUGGAAGUUCAGGUGUGCAGCUCCUGAAACAAAGGUUAUCUAGCUCGGAAACAGAGCAAGGAAGAAGGCAUGGUUUAAGUUUUAAACCUCGACCAGAUGACGUGUUCGUCGUGACUCCACCUAAAUGCGGCACAACAUGGAUGCAACAGAUUCUACAUCAGUUACGUAGUGGUGGCGAUAUGUCAUUUGAUGAGAUUUCCGAUGUGGUCCCUUAUAUCGAGAUGGCUUAUGAUAUCGAAAUAAACCUCGACGCUGAACACCACUAUCAACCACGGUAAGCUUCACUGAUUUGAAAAGUAGCGAACUGGAUAGUUGACAUUUGACAUUUUUACAUUAACAAAAUUGACAAAAUUUGAAAAAACUGACAAAAUUCCUGGGCAAAAUUCUCCCACCUUCGGGAUGAAAAUUGUAUAAUCCUGAAGUAUUUGGUUUUUGGUACACUCUAUAUGUCAGGUGAUAGGGAAUACUCAUAAUAAGGAACAUAUUUUAUACCAUAUAUUAAAAAUGACACGAAUACCUUCAUUGUUAUUAAAAAGUUAAUAUAAUGAACUUUUCAAAAUAACAUAAUGUGAACUUUUACCUAUACUGUAAAUAUAAAUUGAUAUUAAUGUCAGGGCCGCCGAGAGGGGGGGGGGGG